Molecule: ribosomal RNA, 305 nt
Filed under: uncultured bacterium
Lineage: Bacteria
Description: bacterial SSU rRNA
Rfam family: Bacterial small subunit ribosomal RNA
Source: RNAcentral
AUGGGCCUACGGGAGGCAGCAGUGGGGAAUAUUGCACAAUGGGGGAAACCCUGAUGCAGCGACGCCGCGUGAGUGAAGAAGUAAUUCGUUACGUAAAGCUCUAUCAGCAGGGAAGAGAAUGACGGUACCUGAGUAAGAAGCCCCGGCUAACUACGUGCCAGCAGCCGCGGUAAUACGUAGGGGGCAAGCGUUAUCCGGAUUUACUGGGUGUAAAGGGAGCGUAGACGGCAUUGCAAGUCUGAUGUGAAAGAUUGGGGCUCAACCCCAGGCCUGCAUUGGAAACUGUAAAGCUGGAGUACAGGAGG